Long non-coding RNA from Capsicum annuum, 344 nucleotides. RefSeq lists it as uncharacterized. NCBI's taxonomy places the organism in Eukaryota, Viridiplantae, Streptophyta, Magnoliopsida, Solanales, Solanaceae. The record is from RefSeq and is a predicted model, not a curated record. The transcript is spliced from 2 exons.
GAACUUCAAACCUAUCACUUACAAAUGGCCAAGACAUCACUCAAUUUGGAUUUCUUAUGCAUCAUUUUGCUGAUUUCACUUGGUUCACCAUUAUUCUCAAAGGUGAUGGGAGAUUCAAGUGGCUCAAUAUCAAAUGAAUAUGAUGUGCACCCCAAUGCUCAAUUACCUUGCAAAAUUGACAAAGAUUGCCAAGGAAUAUGUCCAAUCUUUUGUAAACAUCAUUUUUGUAACCCACAACACAGUUGCACAUGUACGGACUGUGUUGAGAUAUAGAGAUUCGUGUAGGAAAUUAUUUUUUGAUUUGAUAAUACAACUAAGUAAGUAAUUAUGUUGCUUACUCUUAA